CAGUCGCCACGGUAAUACGUAGGGUGCGAGCGUUAAUCGGAAUUACUGGGCGUAAAGCGUGCGCAGGCGGUUGUGUAAGACAGGUGUGAAAUCCCCGGGCUUAACCUGGGAACUGCGCUUGUGACUGCACAGCUAGAGUAUGGCAGAGGGGGGUGGAAUUCCACGUGUAGCAGUGAAAUGCGUAGAGAUGUGGAGGAACACCGAUGGCGAAGGCAGCCCCCUGGGCCAAUACUGACGCUCAUGCACGAAAGCGUGGGGAGCAAACAGGAUUAGAGACCCCUGUAGUCCCUGUCUCUUAUAA
RNAcentral lists this ribosomal RNA (301 nucleotides) under uncultured bacterium. Its description in RNAcentral is "partial 16S ribosomal RNA". It matches the Rfam family "Bacterial small subunit ribosomal RNA", at positions 509 to 809 of the family's 1533-position model. The record is from RNAcentral.